RNAcentral lists this ribosomal RNA (200 nucleotides) under uncultured bacterium. Its description in RNAcentral is "partial 16S ribosomal RNA". It matches the Rfam family "Bacterial small subunit ribosomal RNA", at positions 28 to 260 of the family's 1533-position model. The record is from RNAcentral.
GGUGAACGCUGGCGGCGUGGAUGAGGCAUGCAAGUCGAAUAGGCUUAGACCCAUGGCAGACGAGGUAGGAACACGUAGGUACAUACCCUAAAGUCACGGAUAAUCUGUCGAAAGGCAGGAUAAUACGUGAUGGUCCCUUCGGGGUAAAGAUUUAUCGCUUUAGGAAUGGCCUGCGUUCUAUCAGCUUGUUGGUAAGGUAA